Molecule: unclassified non-coding RNA, 1144 nt
Filed under: Hevea brasiliensis (rubber tree)
Lineage: Eukaryota; Viridiplantae; Streptophyta; Magnoliopsida; Malpighiales; Euphorbiaceae
Source: RNAcentral
CGCCCCUACCUAAAACAUGCAAGACUAUCUAAAUUAUUGGGGAAAUAAUAAAUGAUUGGAUGUAAGAGUCAAAACUUACUAUAAAAUAAAACCUUAAAGAAUACACACGACCUCCAUAUGCAAAUUAAGACAAUAAAUGGAGGGCACACGAUUAAUCAAAAUUAAGAUAAUGCAAGGAACUACAUGACUAUUAAAGCUUUGCCAUGUCUAAAUGAUUAAAGCAUAUUUUCCUUCUUGCCAAUGCAGAUUCAUCUUGUAUAUGCAAAUACCAUACAAAAUUGCAACCACUAGGUACUACAAGGCCUCCACCUUUAUAUAGGUUUGCUCGUAUGAUUAGAGCACGUUGCUGGACAGCUCAAGUACUAAUUACACAUUCUUUAUGGCUGCAGUCAUAGGUCUACAAACUACAAAGCUCAUGAACAACUGAUCAUCUUACUUCCCAGCUUGCUGUCAAUUUGGUUGAGUGUCUUACUAUUAUUACAUUGACAACACUUCACGUUCCAACUUCAAAUCAUCAAGAAAAGAAAAUUGUUACUGACAUCCAAUUGCUCCAUAAAUUUAAGUAUUAAAGAAAAUCAAGACACCAAAAUGUAAAAGAAGGGCACAUGCAUCAUUGAUAACAUUCUCUAAAAUAUAGCUUAUAUAUAGAGGAAAUAGGGUGGUAAUUUCAAAUGUAGGAUAGCUGUUGUUCACAGUGAAAUAACAUAUAUCAGAACAGUUUUGUCAUUUUUCCAAAACUUAAAUCACCACCAUCAGUACAUCUGCAUCUGCUAGCCAUAAAGGACACAUCAAGUCUAAUGAACAUAUACCAAAUUGGUCUUGGCCUCCUGGUCAAAAGCCCUUUUUGCCGCUAUAAAAAAAAAAAAAGAAGAAAAUUAUCCAAAACUAUUACUGCAUUCAACAAUCAGUGCUGAACUAUUUGACUCAUUAAUCACAGUGAAGCAUAUACAAGAAGUCAUAUUUAGCUCUUCAAUCUAUAUUGCAUUACUCAUAUAUGCACGUUACAAAGAGGCUUCUCAAAGAAUAUCUUUUGAAAGGCAAUAAAUGGAAAAGACAGGAACCUUAAAUAAGCCCCUCGAGACAAUCAAAGUGAAACUCUAAGCAAAGUGGUUGAAUGAUUCCCAGCUCCAUAAAGUUCAUAAUC